Molecule: non-coding RNA, 21 nt
Filed under: Caenorhabditis elegans
Lineage: Eukaryota; Metazoa; Nematoda; Chromadorea; Rhabditida; Rhabditidae
Source: RNAcentral
UCGGGUUUCCGAAAUGGUAGA